CCCUGUGUGGAGUUUGCAUGUUCUCCCCGGGCCUGCGUGGGUUUUCUCCGGGUGCUCCGGUUUCCUCCCACAUUCCAAAAACAUGCGUGGCAGGCUGAUUGAACACUCUAAAUUGUCCCGAGGUGUGAGUGUGAGUGUGAAUGGUUGUUUGUCUCUGUGUGCCCUGCGAUUGGCUGGCAACCGAUUCAGGGUGUCCCCCGCCUACUGCCCGGAGACAGCUGGGAUAGGCUCCAGCAACCCCCGCGACCCUGGUGAGGAUCAAGCAGUUAGGAAGAUGAAUGAAUGAAUGAAUAUUAGAGAAAUCCAGAUGAUGCCCGUGGUAGCAUUACGGGUCUAGUUUGUGAAGGCUUCUAUAAUUGUGAGGCCAAGGUCCGCCACUGCAAAAAAAGGUCACUUCAAAAAAAAAAAACAA
This is a long non-coding RNA of Hippocampus zosterae (dwarf seahorse), 412 nucleotides long. RefSeq lists it as uncharacterized. The transcript has 2 exons. The record is from RefSeq and is a predicted model, not a curated record. NCBI's taxonomy places the organism in Eukaryota, Metazoa, Chordata, Actinopteri, Syngnathiformes, Syngnathidae.